UUAAGCGACUAAGCGUACACGGUGGAUGCCCUGGCAGUCAGAGGCGAUGAAGGACGUGCUAAUCUGCGAAAAGCGCCGGCGAGGUGAUAUGAACCCUUGACCCGGCGAUGUCCGAAUGGGGAAACCCAGUGUGAUUCGUCACACUAUCGUUAACUGAAUACAUAGGUUAACGAGGCGAACCGGGGGAACUGAAACAUCUAAGUACCCCGAGGAAAAGAAAUCAACCGAGAUUCCCCCAGUAGCGGCGAGCGAACGGGGAGCAGCCCGGAGUCUGAAUCAGCUUGUGUGUUAGUGGAACGGUCUGGAAAGUCCGACGGUACAGGGUGAUAGUCCCGUACACGAAAGCACACUUGCUGUGAACUCGAAGAGUAGGGCGGGACACGUGGUAUCCUGUCUGAAUAUGGGGGGACCAUCCUCCAAGGCUAAAUACUCCUGACUGACCGAUAGUGAACCAGUACCGUGAGGGAAAGGCGAAAAGAACCCCGGCGAGGGGAGUGAAAAAGAACCUGAAACCGUGUACGUACAAGCAGUGGGAGCACCUUCGUGGUGUGACUGCGUACCUUUUGUAUAAUGGGUCAGCGACUUAUAUUCUGUAGCAAGGUUAACCGUAUAGGGGAGCCGAAGGGAAACCGAGUCUUAACUGGGCGUUAAGUUGCAGGGUAUAGACCCGAAACCCGGUGAUCUAGCCAUGGGCAGGUUGAAGGUUGGGUAACACUAACUGGAGGACCGAACCGACUAAUGUUGAAAAAUUAGCGGAUGACCUGUGGCUGGGGGUGAAAGGCCAAUCAAACCGGGAGAUAGCUGGUUCUCCCCGAAAGCUAUUUAGGUAGCGCCUCGUGAACUCAUCUUCGGGGGUAGAGCACUGUUUCGGCUAGGGGGCCAUCCCGGCUUACCAACCCGAUGCAAACUACGAAUACCGAAGAAUGUUAUCACGGGAGACACACGGCGGGUGCUAACGUCCGUCGUGAAGAGGGAAACAACCCAGACCGCCAGCUAAGGUCCCAAAGUCAUGGUUAAGUGGGAAACGAUGUGGGAAGGCACAGACAGCCAGGAUGUUGGCUUAGAAGCAGCCAUCAUUUAAAGAAAGCGUAAUAGCUCACUGGUCGAGUCGGCCUGCGCGGAAGAUGUAACGGGGCUAAACCAUGCACCGAAGCUGCGGCAGCGACACUAUGUGUUGUUGGGUAGGGGAGCGUUCUGUAAGCCGUUGAAGGUGUGCUGUGAGGCAUGCUGGAGGUAUCAGAAGUGCGAAUGCUGACAUAAGUAACGAUAAAGCGGGUGAAAAGCCCGCUCGCCGGAAGACCAAGGGUUCCUGUCCAACGUUAAUCGGGGCAGGGUGAGUCGACCCCUAAGGCGAGGCCGAAAGGCGUAGUCGAUGGGAAACAGGUUAAUAUUCCUGUACUUGGUGUUACUGCGAAGGGGGGACGGAGAAGGCUAUGUCAGCCGGGCGACGGUUGUCCCGGUUUAAGCAUGUAGGCGGAGGUUCCAGGUAAAUCCGGUACCUUAUUAACGCUGAGGUGUGAUGACGAGGCACUACGGUGCUGAAGUGAUAAAUGCCCUGCUUCCAGGAAAAGCCUCUAAGCAUCAGGUAACACGAAAUCGUACCCCAAACCGACACAGGUGGUCAGGUAGAGAAUACCAAGGCGCUUGAGAGAACUCGGGUGAAGGAACUAGGCAAAAUGGUGCCGUAACUUCGGGAGAAGGCACGCUGAUGUGUAGGUGAAGCCCCUGCGGGCGGAGCUGAAAUCAGUCGAAGAUACCAGCUGGCUGCAACUGUUUAUUAAAAACACAGCACUGUGCAAACACGAAAGUGGACGUAUACGGUGUGACGCCUGCCCGGUGCCGGAAGGUUAAUUGAUGGGGUUAGCUGUAAGGCGAAGCUCUUGAUCGAAGCCCCGGUAAACGGCGGCCGUAACUAUAACGGUCCUAAGGUAGCGAAAUUCCUUGUCGGGUAAGUUCCGACCUGCACGAAUGGCGUAAUGAUGGCCAGGCUGUCUCCACCCGAGACUCAGUGAAAUUGAACUCGCUGUGAAGAUGCAGUGUACCCGCGGCAAGACGGAAAGACCCCGUGAACCUUUACUAUAGCUUGACACUGAACACUGGUCCUUGAUGUGUAGGAUAGGUGGGAGGCUUUGAAGCGUGGACGCCAGUCUGCGUGGAGCCGCCCUUGAAAUACCACCCUUUAAUGGCUGGUGUUCUAACGUAGACCCGUAAUCCGGGUUGCGGACAGUGUCUGGUGGGUAGUUUGACUGGGGCGGUCUCCUCCCAAAGAGUAACGGAGGAGCACGAAGGUUGGCUAAUCCUGGUCGGACAUCAGGAGGUUAGUGCAAUGGCAUAAGCCAGCUUGACUGCGAGCGUGACGGCGCGAGCAGGUGCGAAAGCAGGUCAUAGUGAUCCGGUGGUUCUGAAUGGAAGGGCCAUCGCUCAACGGAUAAAAGGUACUCCGGGGAUAACAGGCUGAUACCGCCCAAGAGUUCAUAUCGACGGCGGUGUUUGGCACCUCGAUGUCGGCUCAUCACAUCCUGGGGCUGAAGUAGGUCCCAAGGGUAUGGCUGUUCGCCAUUUAAAGUGGUACGCGAGCUGGGUUUAGAACGUCGUGAGACAGUUCGGUCCCUAUCUGCCGUGGGCGCUGGAGAAUUGAGGGGGGCUGCUCCUAGUACGAGAGGACCGGAGUGGACGCAUCACUGGUGUUCGGGUUGUCAUGCCAAUGGCACUGCCCGGUAGCUAAAUGCGGAAGAGAUAAGUGCUGAAAGCAUCUAAGCACGAAACUUGCCCCGAGAUGAGUUCUCCCUGAGACUUUAAGUCUCCUGAAGGAACGUUAAAGACUAUGACGUUGAUAGGUCGGGUGUGUAAGCGCAGCGAUGCGUUGAGCUAACCGAUACUAAUGAACCGUGAGGCUUAACCUU
RNAcentral lists this ribosomal RNA (2903 nucleotides) under Enterobacter cloacae. RNAcentral describes it as "bacterial LSU rRNA". It matches the Rfam family "Bacterial large subunit ribosomal RNA". RNAcentral also lists the same sequence under 1 other name. The record is from RNAcentral. Lineage: Bacteria; Pseudomonadati; Pseudomonadota; Gammaproteobacteria; Enterobacterales; Enterobacteriaceae.